AACGUAGGUUCCGAGCGUUAUCCGGAUUUACUGGGCGUAAAGCGCGUUCAGGCGGUUUGGCAAGUCGGGCAUGAAAUCUCUCGGCUCAACCGGGAGAGGUUGUCCGAUACUGCUGGACUUGAGGGCAGUAGAGGGUGGUGGAAUUCCGGGUGUAGUGGUGAAAUGCGUAGAUAUCCGGAGGAACACCAGUGGCGAAAGCGGCCACCUGGACUGUACCUGACGCUGACACGCGAAAGCGAGGGGAGCGAACGGG
RNAcentral lists this ribosomal RNA (253 nucleotides) under uncultured bacterium. RNAcentral describes it as "partial 16S ribosomal RNA". It matches the Rfam family "Bacterial small subunit ribosomal RNA", at positions 524 to 776 of the family's 1533-position model. The record is from RNAcentral.